AGCUUUGUGUAGUGGCCAUAUCGGAGGCACAAUUAUUGCUAAUUGAAACGCUUCCCAAUACCUUGCUGCAACAACUUGCAAUAUAGUCAGCAUUGACAAUUGUUGGCAGGAUCUAUGGAGACUGAAUAAC
RNAcentral lists this small nuclear RNA (130 nucleotides) under Mus caroli (Ryukyu mouse). RNAcentral describes it as "snRNA (MGP_CAROLIEiJ_G0035368.1)". Lineage: Eukaryota; Metazoa; Chordata; Mammalia; Rodentia; Muridae. The record is from RNAcentral.